RNAcentral lists this non-coding RNA (206 nucleotides) under Lachnoclostridium sp. RNAcentral's name for it is "T-box sequence". It matches the Rfam family "T-box leader". From Rfam's summary of the family: Uncharged tRNA acts as the effector for transcription antitermination of genes in the T-box leader family. T-boxes are found upstream of many aminoacyl-tRNA synthetase genes and some amino acid biosynthetic genes usually in Gram-positive bacteria. The anticodon of a specific tRNA base pairs to a specifier sequence within the T-box motif, and the NCCA acceptor tail of the tRNA base pairs to a conserved bulge in the T-box antiterminator hairpin. Lineage: Bacteria; Bacillati; Bacillota; Clostridia; Lachnospirales; Lachnospiraceae. The record is from RNAcentral.
CGAACAGCGAUGAACGGGAUUAGUAUAUAUGAGGGAAUGCCACAGAGAGAAGGCGGAUGGUGCGAGCCUUUUGCAGGACUGUAUAGAACCGGCCCGGGAGCUUCUGCAUGAAAAUGCAGCGUACGUUCCGCGUUAAGGACGUAAGAGUGAACCGCGCAUAAGUGCAGUUAAUUAGGGUGGUACCGCCGGGAUAUCCGGUCCCUUGU